CGCUCUAGCAGGGCCGAAUCCCUUCUCGAGGUUCGUUUACUUUAAGGCCUGCCUUAAGUAAGUGGUGUUGACGUUUGGGUCCUGCGCAAUGGGAAUUCAUGAACCAUGUCAGGUCCGGAAGGAAGCAGCAUUAAGUGAAACCUCUCAUGUGCCGCAGGGUUGCCUGGGCCGAGCUAACUGCUUAAGUAACGCUUAGGGUAGCGAAUCGACAGAAGGUGCACGG
Molecule: signal recognition particle RNA, 223 nt
Filed under: Vibrio parahaemolyticus
Lineage: Bacteria; Pseudomonadati; Pseudomonadota; Gammaproteobacteria; Vibrionales; Vibrionaceae
Description: partial signal recognition particle sRNA large type
Rfam family: Bacterial large signal recognition particle RNA
About the family: The signal recognition particle (SRP) is a universally conserved ribonucleoprotein involved in the co-translational targeting of proteins to membranes. Archaeal SRP consists of a 7S RNA and homologues of the eukaryotic SRP19 and SRP54 proteins.
Source: RNAcentral